AGAUAGUCUCAAAUCCAGGAGAUGGUCAGUGGAUAUGUGGAGAGAAAACAACGAAGAGAAAACAAUAUAGUGUUGUUUUCUCUUGGUUCUUUUCUCACCACAUAUCCACUGACCAUCUCCUGGACUCAAGACUGUCAUUUCCAU
This is a non-coding RNA of Pelobates cultripes (western spadefoot toad), 144 nucleotides long. NCBI's taxonomy places the organism in Eukaryota, Metazoa, Chordata, Amphibia, Anura, Pelobatidae. The record is from the annotation of a GenBank genome assembly.